GUACAGGUCUUCGGAUGCUGACGAGUGGCGAACGGGUGAGUAAUACAUCGGAACGUGCCUAGUAGUGGGGGAUAACUACUCGAAAGAGUAGCUAAUACCGCAUGAGAUCUACGGAUGAAAGCAGGGGACCUUCGGGCCUUGUGCUACUAGAGCGGCUGAUGGCAGAUUAGGUAGUUGGUGGGGUAAAGGCUUACCAAGCCUGCGAUCUGUAGCUGGUCUGAGAGGACGACCAGCCACACUGGGACUGAGACACGGCCCAGACUCCUACGGGAGGCAGCAGUGGGGAAUU
Molecule: ribosomal RNA, 289 nt
Filed under: Comamonas thiooxydans
Lineage: Bacteria; Pseudomonadati; Pseudomonadota; Betaproteobacteria; Burkholderiales; Comamonadaceae
Description: partial 16S ribosomal RNA
Rfam family: Bacterial small subunit ribosomal RNA
Source: RNAcentral